GCAAAAUGUAACUUUCAGUUUGAUACCCCGAAACCAAGCGAGCUACUUCAGAACAGCCAAAAGGGCCAACCCGUCUCUGUUGCAAAAGAGUGGGAAGAUUCUCAAGUAGAGGUGACAAGCCUACCGAGCUUGGAGAUAGCUGGUUGUUCAGAAAAAGAGUUUUAGCUCUACCUUAAGUUUUUCUAUUAAAAUAAACAAACCCCAAGACUUAAGAGCUAUUCAAAUAAGGCACAGCUUAUUUGAAAUAGGGCACAGCCUACAACAUAGGGUAAACAAGAGUAACUUAAAUAAAGUAGGCCUAAAAGCAGCCACCUUUAGAAAAGCGUCAAAGCUUAACCACUCCCUACUCACAAUAUCUUAAAUUUUCACUAACCCCUCACUAUUACUGAAUAAUUUUAUAAUUAUAUAAAAGCUAUCAUGCUAGAACUAGUAACAAGAAAUUGCCUUUCUCCUAAAUGUAAACAUAAACCAAAAUAGACUAUCUAUUGGUUAUUAACGUAAAUGCCAAAUUAUAGCAACAUCCUCCAGAAAAUCCUAUAGCCCCCAACGUUAACCUUACACUAGAACAUUUCAGGAAAGAUUUAAAGAAAAAGAAGGAACUCGGCAAAUUUUAGCCUCGCCUGUU
RNAcentral lists this ribosomal RNA (625 nucleotides) under Rana temporaria (common frog). RNAcentral's name for it is "partial 16S ribosomal RNA". The stretch from base 1 to 424 matches the Rfam family "Bacterial large subunit ribosomal RNA", at positions 692 to 1300 of the family's 2925-position model. The record is from RNAcentral. Lineage: Eukaryota; Metazoa; Chordata; Amphibia; Anura; Ranidae.